AAAAAAUCCCCAUUUGUUUUGGUUUAUUCUUCAAGGAAAAAAGGAAGACCAUCUUCCUAUCUCUCUAUAUCUCUCUCUCUCUCCUCCAUAGCACUGAAUUUUUCUUGAAAAAUUAGGGAUUUACUACUAAAUCAACAAGCAAUUUUCGUUUUUGGGUGAAGAUCAAGUUGUUCCUCUUGGUAUAUAAAUCCUUGAGAAAUCAAAGGGGAAGUAUUUGAGGAAGUGGACAGAUUUGGGUUGUUUACGGCGUAGACGAUUCGAACAUCCCCAAGUUGUGAUUGAAUUGUGUUGUGGUAAAACACCGAGGUAUUGUUUGGGAUGAAAUCUGAAGAUGGCCAUGAUGAAGUAGUCUUUUUGGAGAACUUGGAGAUCACAUUUGCAUAUGCACCUUGGUUUUGCAUAGUUUCGGGACGUGUACCUGAUAUACAUGAUAUACUGAUAUAUACAUUAAUAUAUAUAUGUCACAUUAUGUACGUUAUUUGGAGGCUUGUUGGAUUUUAAGACCAAAAAUCUUGUAACUUAAAUUUGGAAACUUAUUUUGCUGUUUUUAGUGUGUGUGUCAAUAACUCAAGUCUUGUCAUAUGCUGAAUUUACACUUUGUCUUGUAAAUAUGUACAAAAGAGAAAACUAGUUUCCUUUUUAUA
Long non-coding RNA from Nicotiana attenuata, 644 nucleotides. RefSeq lists it as uncharacterized. The transcript is spliced from 3 exons. The record is from RefSeq and is a predicted model, not a curated record. Lineage: Eukaryota; Viridiplantae; Streptophyta; Magnoliopsida; Solanales; Solanaceae.